Molecule: ribosomal RNA, 482 nt
Filed under: uncultured bacterium
Lineage: Bacteria
Description: bacterial SSU rRNA
Rfam family: Bacterial small subunit ribosomal RNA
Source: RNAcentral
AUUGAACGCUGGCGGCAGGCCUAACACAUGCAAGUCGAGCGGAUGAGUGGAGCUUGCUCCAUGAUUCAGCGGCGGACGGGUGAGUAAUGCCUAGGAAUCUGCCUGGUAGUGGGGGACAACGUUUCGAAAGGAACGCUAAUACCGCAUACGUCCUACGGGAGAAAGUGGGGGAUCUUCGGACCUCACGCUAUCAGAUGAGCCUAGGUCGGAUUAGCUAGUUGGUGAGGUAAAGGCUCACCAAGGCGACGAUCCGUAACUGGUCUGAGAGGAUGAUCAGUCACACUGGGACUGAGACACGGCCCAGACCCCUACGGGAGGCAGCAGUGGGGAAUAUUGGACAAUGGGCGAAAGCCUGAUCCAGCCAUGCCGCGUGAGUGAUGAAGGCCCUAGGGUUGUAAAGCUCUUUCAGUGGGGAAGAUAAUGACGGUACCCACAGAAGAAGCCCCGGCUAACUUCGUGCCAGCAGCCGCGGUAAUUCACUA